UACGUAGGGUGCAAGCGUUAUCCGGAAUUAUUGGGCGUAAAGAGCUCGUAGGCGGUUUGUCGCGUCUGCUGUGAAAUCCCGAGGCUCAACCUCGGGUCUGCAGUGGGUACGGGCAGACUGGAGUGCGGUAGGGGAGAAUGGAAUUCCUGGUGUAGCGGUGGAAUGCGCAGAUAUCAGGAGGAACACCGAUGGCGAAGGCAGUUCUCUGGGCCGUAACUGACGCUGAGGAGCGAAAGCGUGGGGAGCGAACAGG
This 253-nucleotide ribosomal RNA is filed under the name uncultured bacterium. RNAcentral describes it as "partial 16S ribosomal RNA". It matches the Rfam family "Bacterial small subunit ribosomal RNA", at positions 524 to 776 of the family's 1533-position model. The record is from RNAcentral.